RNAcentral lists this unclassified non-coding RNA (204 nucleotides) under Hevea brasiliensis (rubber tree). The record is from RNAcentral. Lineage: Eukaryota; Viridiplantae; Streptophyta; Magnoliopsida; Malpighiales; Euphorbiaceae.
UUCUUUUUUUUUUUUUUUUUGAAAAAUCAUUUGCAUCUGUAAUAUAAAUAUGCAGACGGCAUUGUUGGAGUGAAAUGAUGGUGUAUUUUGGGAGGGUGUUACUGUUAUACGUUGCUCUUUUCACAAGAAGCCUCUUCAGGUUGAUUUUCUAGGCCUGUUUUUGUGGUUCUUAUUCUCAUUUGGUGUCAAAAUUCUCUGUUAACA